Eucalyptus grandis is the source of this 97-nucleotide non-coding RNA. Lineage: Eukaryota; Viridiplantae; Streptophyta; Magnoliopsida; Myrtales; Myrtaceae. The record is from Rfam.
CUUCUAUGGUGAUGAAUUAUGAGUGAAGAGUAAUGUACAUGUCAAACUUCAGAGAUUUCCAUCGAUGAGAAGAUACACUUGACACUCUAAACAGAAA